GGCUCUUUGAAAAUGUUAAAGAAAAGGAGUCGGGCCUGCCCGGUGAAGAAGGUUUUAAACGGUCGCAGUACAUGUGCAAAGGUAGCAUAAUAAUUUGUCCUUUAAUUGGGGAAUGGUAUGAAUGGUUUGACGAGCGGGGAACUGUCUCUGAAGCGACUUCCAAAAUUUUCUUUUAAGUGAAAAGACUUAGAUUUUGAAAUAAGAAGAGAAGACCCCGGUGAGCUUGAUUAAGGAGUUUAUCAAUAGUCUCUCGAAGUUUUGUUGGGGCAACAGGAAGGGAAGAAGAUCUCUUCUGGAGUUACGAAGAAAGUCAUGAAGAUUAUAAGGCAAAAGCUACCACGGGGAUAACAGCGCGAUCACUUUUUGAGAGGACAUAUCGAAGAAAGGGCUUGCGACCUCGAUGUUGGAUUAGGGUUUCCUUUUGGUGCAGGGGCUAAACGGGAAAGACGUGUUUGUCUUUUAAUUCCUUACA
Molecule: ribosomal RNA, 472 nt
Filed under: Donacilla cornea
Lineage: Eukaryota; Metazoa; Mollusca; Bivalvia; Venerida; Mesodesmatidae
Description: partial 16S ribosomal RNA
Rfam family: Bacterial large subunit ribosomal RNA
Source: RNAcentral